UACGUAGGGACCGAGCGUUGUCCGGAUUCAUUGGGCGUAAAGAGCUCGUAGGCGGCUGCUCAAGUCGAAUGUGAAAACUCGAGGCUCAACCUCGAGCCUGCAUUCGAUACUGGGCGGCUAGAGUCUGGUAGGGGGAUCUGGAAUUCCUGGUGUAGCGGUGGAAUGCGCAGAUAUCAGGAGGAACACCGGUGGCGAAGGCGGGAUCCUGGGCCAGUACUGACGCUGAUGCGCGAAAGCCAGGGGAGCGAACGGG
This 253-nucleotide ribosomal RNA is filed under the name uncultured bacterium. RNAcentral's name for it is "partial 16S ribosomal RNA". It matches the Rfam family "Bacterial small subunit ribosomal RNA", at positions 524 to 776 of the family's 1533-position model. The record is from RNAcentral.